Small nuclear RNA from Sciurus vulgaris (Eurasian red squirrel), 106 nucleotides. Lineage: Eukaryota; Metazoa; Chordata; Mammalia; Rodentia; Sciuridae. The record is from Ensembl.
GUGCUUGCUCCAACAGCACUUAUGAUAAAAUUGGAACCAUGCAGAGAAGAUCAGCAUGGCCCCUGCACAAAAUGACACGUAAAUUCAUGAAGCAUUCCCUGCUUUU